UGGGGAAUAUUGCACAAUGGGCGAAAGCCUGAUGCAGCGACGCCGCGUGAGGGAUGACGGCCUUCGGGUUGUAAACCUCUUUCAGCAGGGAAGAAGCCACAAGUGACGGUACCUGCAGAAGAAGCGCCGGCUAACUACGUGCCAGCAGCCGCAGUAAUACGUAGGGCGCAAGCGUUGUCCGGAAUUAUUGGGCAUAAAGAGCUCGUAGGCGGUUUGUCGCGUCUGCUGUGAAAGCCCGGGGCUUAACCCCGGGUGUGCAGUGGGUACGGGCAGACUAGAGUGCAGUAGGGGAGACUGGAAUUCCUGGUGUAGCGGUGGAAUGCGCAGAUAUCAGGAGGAACACCGAUGGCGAAGGCAGGUCUCUGGGCUGUUACUGACGCUGAGGAGCGAAAGCAUGGGGAGCGAACA
RNAcentral lists this ribosomal RNA (408 nucleotides) under uncultured bacterium. RNAcentral describes it as "partial 16S ribosomal RNA". It matches the Rfam family "Bacterial small subunit ribosomal RNA", at positions 355 to 774 of the family's 1533-position model. The record is from RNAcentral.